GACGAACGCUGGCGGCGUGCUUAACACAUGCAAGUCGAACGGAAAGGCCCUGCUUUUGUGGGGUGCUCGAGUGGCGAACGGGUGAGUAACACGUGAGUAACCUGCCCUUGACUUUGGGAUAACUUCAGGAAACUGGGGCUAAUACCGGAUAGGAGCUCCUGCUGCAUGGUGGGGGUGGGAAAGUUUCGGCGGUUGGGGAUGGACGCGCGGCUGAUCAGCUUGUUGGUGGGGUAGUGGCUUACCCAGGCUUUGACGGGUCGCCCGCCUGAGAGGGUGACCGGCCACCUGGGGACUGAGAUACGGCCCAGACUCCUACGUGAGGCAGUAGUGGGGAAUAUUGCACAAUGGGACGAAGCCUGAUGCAGAAACGCCGCGUGCGGGAUGACGGCCUUCGGGUUGUAAACCGCUUUCGCCUGUGACGAAGCGUGAGUGACGGUAAUGGGUAAAGAAGCACCGGCUAACUACGUG
RNAcentral lists this ribosomal RNA (468 nucleotides) under uncultured bacterium. RNAcentral's name for it is "partial 16S ribosomal RNA". It matches the Rfam family "Bacterial small subunit ribosomal RNA", at positions 28 to 507 of the family's 1533-position model. The record is from RNAcentral.